UACGAAGGGGGCGAGCGUUGUUCGGAAUUACUGGGCGUAAAGGGUGCGCAGGCGGUUCUGUAAGUCAGAUGUGAAAUCCCCGGGCUUAACCUGGGAAUUGCGUUUGAAACUACAGGACUAGAGUGUAGCAGAGGGAGGUGGAAUUCCAUGUGUAGCAGUGAAAUGCGUAGAGAUAUGGAAGAACAUCGAUGGCGAAGGCAACCUCCUGGGUUAACACUGACGCUCAUGCACGAAAGCGUGGGGAGCAAACAGG
Molecule: ribosomal RNA, 253 nt
Filed under: uncultured bacterium
Lineage: Bacteria
Description: partial 16S ribosomal RNA
Rfam family: Bacterial small subunit ribosomal RNA
Source: RNAcentral